Anolis sagrei ordinatus is the source of this 2938-nucleotide non-coding RNA. The record is from RefSeq and is a predicted model, not a curated record. Lineage: Eukaryota; Metazoa; Chordata; Lepidosauria; Squamata; Anolidae.
GGGUUUUAGAUGUUUGUUCCUGGUUGGAUGGUUCCUAAAAAGAAGGUGACACUUGAGUAAAAGCAAGAUUUAUAGGUGCAGGAAUAUUGCAGUUUUGUACCAAAUAUUCAGAUCUUCGCAUGUCUGUAUGUCCCUGCAUUUGGAAAUCACGGGAUUUUUUAAAUCUGGGUUUGUUUCCGGGUUUUAGAUGUUUGUUCCUGGUUGGAUGGUUCCUAAAAAGAAAGUGACACUUGAGUAAAAGCAAGAUUUAUAGGGGCAGGAAUAUUGCAGUUUUGCACCAAAUAUGCGGAUCUUCACAUAUCUGUAUGUCCCUGCAUUCGGAAAUCACGGGAUUUUUUAAAUCUGGGUUUGUUUCCAGGUUUUAGAUGUUUGUUCCUGAUUGGUUGGUUCCUAAAAAGAAAGUGACACUUGAGUAGAAGGCAAAAAUUUGGUUUGUGUGCCAGAAACUUUAUGAAACAUGUGAAUGACACAGUUUAUCUGAGCAGGGCAAAGAACGGAACUUUUGCAGUGAUUCGCUGCAGUUAUUCUCAUCAUACCCGCAUCUUGAGUUUAAAAAAAGGACACCAAUGUUUUCCGUGGAAGUUUCAUGGUGACCAUCUUGGGAGCCUCUAAAUCUUGCAUCAAAGCAUCAAGUCUGGACAACAGAGGCAGAAAUUCUGGGACCAACAGGUCUGUAUGUGGACAUCUUCUGAAGUUCUGGGAUUUUUUUGCCUCUGUUUAAAACUCGUGAUUUUGUGCUGUCUGGAAGUGCCCUAAAACUCAUUUGGAUGUGGCUCCUUUUGGGAUUUCCUGGAGAAAGCCAUGGCAGUUGAACUGGCCCAAGACCCAAAUUCUGCAAUCUAGACACAAUAUAGUUUGUAGACAGAACAACCUAUGUUUUUUUUUAAUUUUGGAAAGCAUGAUCAAAAUUCGAUACCAAGAAAGGUUGAAUUUCUCAAUCUUUUACAGUUUUGAAGAAGCCAUUCUGCUUUCAUUGUAGCAGAGGAAUGAGAGAAGUUGUGCAGGGUGCAUCUGUGCUCCUUCUCCCUGGACAUGUUGUGGCUCACUCCUUUGUCGUUCUUGUCAUGUCAUCAGCCACUGCACAUAUGCAUACUUCCAUGUUUAUCUCCCCAGCCACAAGAGCCAGGAAAUUGGGCUUUCUCCAAACAAUGAAUGCUAGAUUCCUUUUGCAUCCACUCUCCCUUCAUUUGCACUCUGAUCCUAUCCUCUCCAACUUCACCCCCCAAUAACAUUUCUCAGGAUGCCAAACAUUGGAGAAGGGGUCCUUUAAAUGGCGAACUCUCAGAUCUGCAAAACUACACCCAGAUGGUGGAGUGGCUUAGAGGGAGAAGCCCCACCUCUCUCCCUUUUGCAAAUGGGGCGGGAAACGCCAAUUUUUUUACCCAUAAUGAUUUUUGCCACCAAUUUCCUCAAGUGCUCUACAUUCUCAGGUUGGCGCUGAGUUUGCGUGAUACGAGGCCAUAUGAAAAAAAACAGGGUUUUGUGAAGCCAUAGAGGGACAGAAAGGGCAGAUUUUGACAUUGUUUGGAGACAUUACUUCUUUGGGUUGCUGUGAGCUUCCCAGGCUAUAUGACCAGAAGCAUUCAUAGAAUCAUAGAAUCGAAGAGUUGGAAGAGACCUCCUGGGCCAUCAUCCAGUCCAACCCCUUUCUGCCAAGAAGCAGGAAUAUUGGAUUCAAAUCACCCCUGACAGAUGGCCAUCCAGCCUGUGUUUAAAAGCUUCCAAAGAAGGAGCCUCCACCACACUCCGGGGCAGAGAGUUCCACUGCUGAACGGCUCUCACAGUCAGGAAGUUCUUCCUCGUGUUCAGAUGGAAUCUCCUUUCUUGUAGUUUGAAGCCAUUGUUCCAUUGCGUCCUAGUCUCCAGGGAAGCAGAAAACAAGCUUGCUCCCUCCUCCUUCCUGUGGCUUCCUCUCACAUAUUUAUACAUGGCUAUCAUAUCUCCUCUCAGCUUUCUCUUCUUCAGGCUAAACAUGUUCAGCUCCUUAAGCCGCUCCUCAUAGGGCUUGUUCUCCAGACCCUUGAUCAUUUUAGUCGCCCUCCUCUGGACACAUUCCAGCUCCUGAUGUUUUGCCCACAUCUACAAUUUUACAAUUUAGCUGUAAAUCGCCUAGAGCAUUCUCAAAUGGAGGGCGAUUAAAAAGUAAUUAAAUAUCAUGAUGAUGAUGAUUAUGAUGAUGAUGAUGAUGAUGAUCUAUGGCAGGCAUCCUCAGAGGUUAUGAGGUCUGUUGGAAACUAGGCAAGUGAGGUUUAUACAUCUGUGAAAUGUUCAGGGUGGGAGAAAGAAUUGCAAAUGUGUAUGUUGCAAUUCCCCCAGGCAGAAAGCAGCCAGGCUUUGAAGCUGCAAGACCAUUCAGUGCUAAUCAAGGUUGUCAGUUGCAACAUCCACACUUUCCUCAGGCAGACAAGAGUUCUUUCUCCCACCCUGAACAUUCCACAGAAACAUAAACCUCACUUCUUGCCUAGUUUCCAACAGACCUCACAGCCUCUGAGGAAGCCUGCCAUAGAUGUGGGUGAAACGUCAGGAGAGAAUGCUUCUGGAACAUGGCCAUACAAUCUGGGAAACUCACAGCAACAGUGAUUCUGGUCAUGAAAGCCUUCAACAGCAUAUUACUUCUUUGGAUUGCAACUCCCAGAAAUCUCCAGCUGGUCCACAGAUAUGCACAAAAAGGGUGCCCAAGCUUAGAUUCCAACCAUUGCGGAAUCCCCUUUGGAAGGUGUUUGUUUGUUUGGGGGUCGGGAUGUACACACAUGGCUUUCAGUAAGGCAAGCCUAGUAAGACAGGUGUUUGUAGGGGUGUUGUCUGAGAUUUGGAAGCAAUUAACCCCGGGCAAAGAAAUAAACGCUAUAGGAUGUCCUGAUGGUGGUGACUGUGGCUUCGCAGCAAAGGCGCAGUGCUCAGUAAAGAUUUGCAGUAUUAAAACAACUCUUUAAAAAUA